AACGGUCUAUACCUGCGGUACCUGCGGAAGGAUCAUUACCGAGUUAUCAACUCCCAAACCCCUGUGAACAUACCCGAACGUUGCCUCGGCGGGACCGCCCCGGCGCCCCUAGCGGCCCGGAACCAGGCGCCCGCCGGAGGACCCAAACUCUUGCUUUAAACAGUGGCAUACUCUCUGAGUCUCACAAACAAAAAGUAAAUCAAAACUUUUAACAAUGGAUCUCUAGAUCGGAAGAGCACA
This 240-nucleotide unclassified non-coding RNA is filed under the name soil metagenome. Its description in RNAcentral is "partial contains 5.8S ribosomal RNA, internal transcribed spacer 2, and large subunit ribosomal RNA". The record is from RNAcentral.